UGAGGAGUUUGGACUCCUCUUAGAUCUUCCUCGAAAUAAAUGAUGUCAUCAUUUGUUCGCUGAUAUUUUGAGGAGCUUUUAGAGUCAUCUGCCCCCUGUAGUCUCGAUCCUGUUGAGAUCAUAUUGAUCACACCCACCGUCGGUUGGACGUGAGUUCUUCCUUGGGAUGCAACUGUGGUUGAGUAUCAGUAGGCAGCUGCAC
Molecule: long non-coding RNA, 202 nt
Filed under: Elaeis guineensis (African oil palm)
Lineage: Eukaryota; Viridiplantae; Streptophyta; Magnoliopsida; Arecales; Arecaceae
Description: long non-coding RNA (EGUI_LNC004296)
Source: RNAcentral